CAGGACGAACGCUGGCGGCGUGCCUAACACAUGCAAGUCGAACGGACGAGGGGAGGCUUGCUCCCCAAGUUAGUGGCGGACGGGUGAGUAACACGUGAGCAACCUGCCCUUCGAGGGGGACAACAGCUGGAAACGGCUGCUAAUACCGCAUGACACAGCGGGGAGGCAUCUCUCUGCUGUCAAAGAUUUAUCGCCGAAGGAUGGGCUCGCGUCUGAUUAGAUAGUUGGUGAGGUAACGGCCCACCAAGUCUACGAUCAGUAGCCGGACUGAGAGGUUGAACGGCCACAUUGGGACUGAGAUACGGCCCAGACUCCUACGGGAGGCAGCAGUGGGGAAUAUUGGGCAAAUGGGGGCAACCCUGACCCAGCAACGCCGCGUGAAGGAAGAAGGCUUUCGGGUUGUAAACUUCUUUGACGAGGGACGAUAGUGACGGUACCUCGAAAACAAGCCACGGCUAACUACGUGCCAGCCGCGGC
RNAcentral lists this ribosomal RNA (477 nucleotides) under uncultured bacterium. RNAcentral's name for it is "bacterial SSU rRNA". It matches the Rfam family "Bacterial small subunit ribosomal RNA", at positions 25 to 518 of the family's 1533-position model. The record is from RNAcentral.